RNAcentral lists this ribosomal RNA (287 nucleotides) under Mycobacteroides abscessus subsp. abscessus. RNAcentral describes it as "partial 16S ribosomal RNA". It matches the Rfam family "Bacterial small subunit ribosomal RNA", at positions 1231 to 1516 of the family's 1533-position model. The record is from RNAcentral. Lineage: Bacteria; Bacillati; Actinomycetota; Actinomycetes; Mycobacteriales; Mycobacteriaceae.
UGGCCAGUACAGAGGGCUGCGAAGCCGUAAGGUGGAGCGAAUCCCUUAAAGCUGGUCUCAGUUCGGAUUGGGGUCUGCAACUCGACCCCAUGAAGUCGGAGUCGCUAGUAAUCGCAGAUCAGCAACGCUGCGGUGAAUACGUUCCCGGGCCUUGUACACACCGCCCGUCACGUCAUGAAAGUCGGUAACACCCGAAGCCAGUGGCCUAACCUUUUGGAGGGAGCUGUCGAAGGUGGGAUCGGCGAUUGGGACGAAGUCGAAACAAGGUAGCCGUACCGGAAGGUGCG